This 69-nucleotide transfer RNA is filed under the name Pennahia aneus (bigeye croaker). RNAcentral's name for it is "tRNA-Phe". It matches the Rfam family "tRNA". From Rfam's summary of the family: Transfer RNA (tRNA) molecules are approximately 80 nucleotides in length. Their secondary structure includes four short double-helical elements and three loops (D, anti-codon, and T loops). The record is from RNAcentral. Lineage: Eukaryota; Metazoa; Chordata; Actinopteri; Sciaenidae.
GCUAAUGUAGCUUAAACAAAGCAUGACACUGAAGAUGUUAAGAUGGGUCUUAGAACGGCCCCAUAAGCA